RNAcentral lists this transfer RNA (74 nucleotides) under Candidatus Dojkabacteria bacterium. Its description in RNAcentral is "tRNA-Arg". It matches the Rfam family "tRNA". Rfam says of the family: Transfer RNA (tRNA) molecules are approximately 80 nucleotides in length. The record is from RNAcentral.
GCGCUAAUAGCUCAGUUGGAUAGAGCAAGGCACUCCUAACGCCUAGGCCGUAGGUUCGAUUCCUACUUAGCGCA